Molecule: ribosomal RNA, 364 nt
Filed under: uncultured bacterium
Lineage: Bacteria
Description: bacterial SSU rRNA
Rfam family: Bacterial small subunit ribosomal RNA
Source: RNAcentral
AACGAACGCUGGCGGCAGGCUUAACACAUGCAAGUCGAACGAACGUAGCAAUACGUUAGUGGCGCACGGGUGAGUAACACGUGGAUAUCUGCCUUUUGGUUCGGGAUAACCCUGGGAAACUAGGGCUAAUACCGAAUGGUUCCUACGGGAUAAAGAUUUAUCGCCAAAAGAUGAGUCCGCGUCCGAUUAGCUAGUUGGUGGGGUAAUGGCUCACCAAGGCGACGAUCGGUAGCUGGUCUGAGAGGACGAUCAGCCACACUGGGACUGAGACACGGCCCAGACUCCUACGGGAGGCAGCAGUGGGGAAUAUUGGACAAUGGGGGCAACCCUGAUCCAGCCAUGCCGCGUGAGUGAUGAAGGCCUU